RNAcentral lists this ribosomal RNA (468 nucleotides) under uncultured bacterium. RNAcentral describes it as "partial 16S ribosomal RNA". It matches the Rfam family "Bacterial small subunit ribosomal RNA", at positions 28 to 507 of the family's 1533-position model. The record is from RNAcentral.
GACGAACGCUGGCGGCGUGCUUAACACAUGCAAGUCGAACGGAAAGGCCCUGCUUUUGUGGGGUGCUCGAGUGGCGAACGGGUGAGUAACACGUGAGUAACCUGCCCUUGACUUUGGGAUAACUUCAGGAAACUGGGGCUAAUACCGGAUAGGAGCUCCUGCUGCAUGGUGGGGGUUGGAAAGUUUCGGCGGUUGGGGAUGGACUCGCGGCUUAUCAGCUUGUUGGUGGGGUAUUGGCAUACCAAGGCUUUGACGGGUAGCCGGCCUGAGAGGGUGACCGGCCACAUGGGGACUGAGGUACGGCCCAGACGGCUACGGGAGGCAACAGUGGGGAAUAUUGCACAAUGGGCGGAAGCCUGAUGCAGCAACGCCGCGUGCGGGAUGACGGCUUUCGGGUUGUAAACCGCUUUCGCCUGUGACGAAGCGUGAGUGACGGUAAUGGGUAAAGAAGCACCGGCUAACUACGUG